UGACCUCAGAUCAGGCAGAUCACCCGCUGAGUUUAAGCAUAUCACUAAGCGAGGAAAGAACUAACGAGGAUU
Molecule: ribosomal RNA, 72 nt
Filed under: Frullania rostrata
Lineage: Eukaryota; Viridiplantae; Streptophyta; Jungermanniopsida; Porellales; Frullaniaceae
Description: partial 26S ribosomal RNA
Source: RNAcentral